ACGGGUGAGUAACACGUAGGCAACCUGCCCACCAGACGGGGAUAACGACCGGAAACGGUAGCUAAUACCGGAUAGAUCCUGUCGCCGCAUGGCGAGAGGAAGAAAGGCGGCUUGGGCUGUCGUUGGUGGAAGGGCCUGCGGCGCAUUAGCUAGUUGGUAGAGUAACGGCCUACCAAGGCGACGAUGCGUAGCCGACCUGAGAGGGUGAACGGCCACACUGGGACUGAGACACGGCCCAGACUCCUACGGGAGGCAGCAGUAGGGAAUCUUCCGCAAUGGGCGCAAGCCUGACGGAGCAACGCCGCGUGAGUGAAGAGGGUUUUCGGAUCGUAAAGCUCUGUUGCCAGGGAAGAACGACUUUUGGAGGAACUGCCAGAAGAGUGACGGUACCUGAGAAGAAAGCCCCGGCUAACUACGUGCCAGCAGCCGCGGUAAUACGUAGGGGGCAAGCGUUGUCCGGAAUUAUUGGGCGUAAAGCGCGCGCAGGCGGCCGUUUAAGUCCGGUGUAUAAGCCCGGGGCUCAACCCCGGAUCGCACGGGAAACUGGAGGGCUUGAGAACAGCAGAGGAGAGUGGAAU
Molecule: ribosomal RNA, 578 nt
Filed under: uncultured bacterium
Lineage: Bacteria
Description: bacterial SSU rRNA
Rfam family: Bacterial small subunit ribosomal RNA
Source: RNAcentral